AUGUGUAGAGAUCCAAUAAGAAACCUGGCAAUCUUGAUUUAGGGGAAAAAAGUUGGCACGCCAACUUUCAAUUUGCCCAAUAACUAAAAGAGCAAAACUGAAAUAUUUUUCUAUAAAUACGAGCCAAACUUUCAAAACUCCAUUAAGAAAAUUCUCUCUCUAAGUUGAUGUUCUCUCUUUUUUAGUUCAAGAUUGGUCCUAUGAUGGUUUGUUUUUGAGAUUGUGCAGUGGUGGAGAAAUGGAUUGGAGAAAGCUUUGGAACAAUUCUCCUGAUGUCUUCACUCAAGAAAAUCUGGAAAGGUUAUUCAGACUGCCUCGAGUGCCAACGCACCAAGUAUAAACAGACAGAGUUAAGUUGGGCAUAGAUUUGCUUGCCGUGGCCUGAGAGGCUCUGAAAUUGAGUGAAGCAGGUGGGCGACGAAACAGCUAGACAGAGUGACAGCAUGGUGGCGAUGCUGGCCGGAUAGGCAAUCAUGAGGUGGCCGAAGGCGAGUUGGGCUUGGAUCGAGAGACAAAGAAUUAUGGCCCCACUUUGUUAUUGUAUCAACUAUUUAUGCUAUGUAAUUUGUAAAUGGUACGUAUAUGUUUAUUUAAAUUGCUAAAGGUAGUAUACAUCUUUAAAAAUGAGUAAAGAUUUGUUUAAUUUU
Non-coding RNA from Salvia hispanica, 647 nucleotides. The record is from RefSeq and is a predicted model, not a curated record. NCBI's taxonomy places the organism in Eukaryota, Viridiplantae, Streptophyta, Magnoliopsida, Lamiales, Lamiaceae.